RNAcentral lists this ribosomal RNA (1383 nucleotides) under Klebsiella pneumoniae. RNAcentral describes it as "bacterial SSU rRNA". It matches the Rfam family "Bacterial small subunit ribosomal RNA", at positions 45 to 1420 of the family's 1533-position model. The record is from RNAcentral. Lineage: Bacteria; Pseudomonadati; Pseudomonadota; Gammaproteobacteria; Enterobacterales; Enterobacteriaceae.
GGCCUAACACAUGCAAGUCGAGCGGUAGCACAGAGAGCUUGCUCUCGGGUGACGAGCGGCGGACGGGUGAGUAAUGUCUGGGAAACUGCCUGAUGGAGGGGGAUAACUACUGGAAACGGUAGCUAAUACCGCAUAACGUCGCAAGACCAAAGUGGGGGACCUUCGGGCCUCAUGCCAUCAGAUGUGCCCAGAUGGGAUUAGCUAGUAGGUGGGGUAACGGCUCACCUAGGCGACGAUCCCUAGCUGGUCUGAGAGGAUGACCAGCCACACUGGAACUGAGACACGGUCCAGACUCCUACGGGAGGCAGCAGUGGGGAAUAUUGCACAAUGGGCGCAAGCCUGAUGCAGCCAUGCCGCGUGUGUGAAGAAGGCCUUCGGGUUGUAAAGCACUUUCAGCGGGGAGGAAGGCGAUAAGGUUAAUAACCUUGUCGAUUGACGUUACCCGCAGAAGAAGCACCGGCUAACUCCGUGCCAGCAGCCGCGGUAAUACGGAGGGUGCAAGCGUUAAUCGGAAUUACUGGGCGUAAAGCGCACGCAGGCGGUCUGUCAAGUCGGAUGUGAAAUCCCCGGGCUCAACCUGGGAACUGCAUUCGAAACUGGCAGGCUAGAGUCUUGUAGAGGGGGGUAGAAUUCCAGGUGUAGCGGUGAAAUGCGUAGAGAUCUGGAGGAAUACCGGUGGCGAAGGCGGCCCCCUGGACAAAGACUGACGCUCAGGUGCGAAAGCGUGGGGAGCAAACAGGAUUAGAUACCCUGGUAGUCCACGCCGUAAACGAUGUCGAUUUGGAGGUUGUGCCCUUGAGGCGUGGCUUCCGGAGCUAACGCGUUAAAUCGACCGCCUGGGGAGUACGGCCGCAAGGUUAAAACUCAAAUGAAUUGACGGGGGCCCGCACAAGCGGUGGAGCAUGUGGUUUAAUUCGAUGCAACGCGAAGAACCUUACCUGGUCUUGACAUCCACAGAACUUUCCAGAGAUGGAUUGGUGCCUUCGGGAACUGUGAGACAGGUGCUGCAUGGCUGUCGUCAGCUCGUGUUGUGAAAUGUUGGGUUAAGUCCCGCAACGAGCGCAACCCUUAUCCUUUGUUGCCAGCGGUUAGGCCGGGAACUCAAAGGAGACUGCCAGUGAUAAACUGGAGGAAGGUGGGGAUGACGUCAAGUCAUCAUGGCCCUUACGACCAGGGCUACACACGUGCUACAAUGGCAUAUACAAAGAGAAGCGACCUCGCGAGAGCAAGCGGACCUCAUAAAGUAUGUCGUAGUCCGGAUUGGAGUCUGCAACUCGACUCCAUGAAGUCGGAAUCGCUAGUAAUCGUAGAUCAGAAUGCUACGGUGAAUACGUUCCCGGGCCUUGUACACACCGCCCGUCACACCAUGGGAGUGGGUUGCAA